RNAcentral lists this transfer RNA (74 nucleotides) under Mus musculus (house mouse). RNAcentral describes it as "tRNA-Val-GAC-1-1". The stretch from base 5 to 68 matches the Rfam family "tRNA", at positions 5 to 66 of the family's 71-position model. Rfam says of the family: Transfer RNA (tRNA) molecules are approximately 80 nucleotides in length. Their secondary structure includes four short double-helical elements and three loops (D, anti-codon, and T loops). Further hydrogen bonds mediate the characteristic L-shaped molecular structure. tRNAs have two regions of fundamental functional importance: the anti-codon, which is responsible for specific mRNA codon recognition, and the 3' end, to which the tRNAs corresponding amino acid is attached (by aminoacyl-tRNA synthetases). tRNAs cope with the degeneracy of the genetic code in two manners: having more than one tRNA (with a specific anti-codon) for a particular amino acid; and 'wobble' base-pairing, i.e. permitting non-standard base-pairing at the 3rd anti-codon position. The record is from RNAcentral. Lineage: Eukaryota; Metazoa; Chordata; Mammalia; Rodentia; Muridae.
GUGGAUAUAGCUCAAUUGGUAAAGUGCUUGCUUGACCUGCAGAAAGCUCUGGGUUCAAACCCCAGUGUUUGAUG